GCUUAAGUAUGAAUAUGAUAAAGAAUAAAAAAUAAUUGCAAAAAUUGUUAAGAUAAGAGAAAAAAGGCUUGGUAAAUAAUUGAUUACAGCAUUAAUGGACCCCAUUCAGACCCUCAUUCAAAAAAGGAGUUGUUGUUUUAUCAUGUAUAUCAAAUUUGCAAGCCAUCAUUUGAUUGGCCUCGGUGAGUUUCUAGUCCCUUUAUCUUCUUUUUUCACACUUUUUUGUAAACAGCUCAAACCAUAAC
RNAcentral lists this long non-coding RNA (245 nucleotides) under Mytilus galloprovincialis (Mediterranean mussel). Lineage: Eukaryota; Metazoa; Mollusca; Bivalvia; Mytilida; Mytilidae. The record is from RNAcentral.